UACGUAGGGUGCGAGCGUUAAUCGGAAUUACUGGGCGUAAAGCGUGCGCAGGCGGCUUUGCAAGACAGAUGUGAAAUCCCCGGGCUCAACCUGGGAACUGCAUUUGUGACUGCAAGGCUGGAGUGCGGCAGAGGGGGAUGGAAUUCCGCGUGUAGCAGUGAAAUGCGUAGAUAUCGGGAGGAACACCAGUGGCGAAGGCGGCGACCUGGGCCAAUAUUGACGCUGAGGUGCGAAAGCGUGGGGAGCAAACAGG
RNAcentral lists this ribosomal RNA (253 nucleotides) under uncultured bacterium. Its description in RNAcentral is "partial 16S ribosomal RNA". It matches the Rfam family "Bacterial small subunit ribosomal RNA", at positions 524 to 776 of the family's 1533-position model. The record is from RNAcentral.